This 492-nucleotide ribosomal RNA is filed under the name uncultured bacterium. RNAcentral describes it as "partial 16S ribosomal RNA". It matches the Rfam family "Bacterial small subunit ribosomal RNA", at positions 29 to 507 of the family's 1533-position model. The record is from RNAcentral.
AGUGAACGCUGGCGGUAGGCCUAAUACAUGCAAGUCGAACGGACGCACGAUAAGCUCUCGCCUUUACGGGUGGCGAGUGGCGGGUGGGUGAGAAGUACAUAGGAAUCUACUUUUUCGGGGGGGAUAUCGUGGGGCAACUUCUGAUAACACAGAAUAUGACCAACGGGAGAAAGCAACGGUUCUACGCAGCUUUCGCGUUUGUUUGAGCCGAUGUCGGAUUAGCUAGUUGGCGGGGUAAGGGCCCACCAAGGCGACGAUACGUAGCUGGUCUGAGAGGAUGAUCGGCCACACUGGAACUGAGACACGGUCCAGACUCCUACGGGAGGCAGCAGUAGGGAAUAUUGGACAAUGGGCGCAAGCCUGACGCAGCAAUACCGCGUGGGUGAAGAAGGUCUUCGGAUUGUAAAGCCCUUUUGUUGGGAAAGAAAAGCUGCAUGUUAAAAUCCCGCUGUUCUGACGGUACCCAAAGAGUAAGCACCGGCUAACUUCGUG